This 581-nucleotide ribosomal RNA is filed under the name uncultured fungus. RNAcentral's name for it is "SSU rRNA". It matches the Rfam family "Eukaryotic small subunit ribosomal RNA", at positions 84 to 668 of the family's 1831-position model. Lineage: Eukaryota; Fungi. The record is from RNAcentral.
AAACUGCGAAUGGCUCAUUAAAUCAGUUAUCGUUUAUUUGAUAGUACCUUACUACUUGGAUAACCGUGGUAAUUCUAGAGCUAAUACAUGCUUAAAACCCCGACUCACGGAGGGGUGUAUUUAUUAGAUUAAAAACCAAUGCCCUUCGGGGCUUUUUGGUGAUUCAUAAUAACUUCUCGAAUCGCAUGGCCUUGUGCCGGCGAUGGUUCAUUCAAAUUUCUGCCCUAUCAACUUUCGAUGGCAGGGUCUUGGCCUGCCAUGGUUACAACGGGUAACGGAGGGUUAGGGCUCGACCCCGGAGAAGGAGCCUGAGAAACGGCUACUACAUCCAAGGAAGGCAGCAGGCGCGCAAAUUACCCAAUCCCGAUACGGGGAGGUAGUGACAAUAAAUACUGAUACAGGGCUCUUUUGGGUCUUGUAAUUGGAAUGAGUACAAUUUAAAUCCCUUAACGAGGAACAAUUGGAGGGCAAGUCUGGUGCCAGCAGCCGCGGUAAUUCCAGCUCCAAUAGCGUAUAUUAAAGUUGUUGCAGUUAAAAAGCUCGUAGUUGAACCUUGGGCCUGGCUGGCCGGUCCGCCUCAC